RNAcentral lists this long non-coding RNA (431 nucleotides) under Monodelphis domestica (gray short-tailed opossum). Its description in RNAcentral is "lncRNA (ENSMODG00000040919.1)". The record is from RNAcentral. Lineage: Eukaryota; Metazoa; Chordata; Mammalia; Didelphimorphia; Didelphidae.
GCUAUAGAUACUUUAGAACUUACAGGUUCUCUUCCUACAGAAAUGGGAGAGACCAGGAUAAGAACCAGAGGAAAUAGAGUAUUCUAGUUUGUUGGACCAAAGCAUAAAAGAAGGGCGAAAGUUUAGAUAUUCCUAACAAUAUGAAGGAAAUUAAUUCUGAAGACCUCUAACAGUCCUGGAAGUCUUGGAUUUGAUCUGUUUAUGUAUGCAAGUGUGAAAAGGAUUAAGGGAAGGAGAAGGAAGAAGGAAUGAAGAGUGGAUAAGAUAGAAGGAAAAAGGAGACGUUCAAGGAGACCCAAGAAAAGAAGACCUGAUUUUCUCACAACUGCCUUCUGAGCCUGGUUGGAGAAUUUCAUACCAUCCCCUGAUGUCUUCUGAGUUUCCAUUUGCUCUUCUUCUGAGACAUUUCUUCAAAAUUCAACUUUUUCAUU